UAGCAUGGAGAUGUGGGCAUUAAUACUCACUAGCAUGACCUCCCCCACUGACCCAGGAGGUGCUGCCUUGCUAAACUUGAAGGGGCUGCAUCUCACUCAGAAAUUCCACGAAUGCUUGUUCAAUUGGUACCUCUUCUACUUUAUUGCCUCUCUUGUAAAAUAACUUCUGUCUUUUAAAAUAUUUUUAUGUUAACAUUAUGGAUCCUUGAUUUUUUUUUCCUUUUUAAGCCUUAGAACAUUCUGUAAAAAAGGAAACUUUGGGUUACCCGAAGCUUGACCCAUAAGAAAUCUAACUUCAGAUUUUAUAGGUCAAUAGAGUAUUUUUUUCAAAAUGGAGUAAUUUAUACAAAUGUAAAAUUUGGGUUAUAGUUUAACACUUACUGUGAUGUAUAUCAAAUUGCCUUGAUUUCGAAUCUGUCACUGAACAUAUUUUUACAAUAUCAGUAAAAUAUCCUUAUAGUAAAACUUUGUGACAAGGCUGUUAAAGUAAAAAGGUUUAAUGAUUAGAAGUGAGCAGAGCACGGUGCAGUCAAGCAUCGGUGUUUCUUAUGAAGUGAGCAGAGCAUGGUGCAGUCAAGCAUCAGUGUUUCUUAUGAAGUGAGCAGAGCAUGGUGCAGUCAAGCAUCAGUGUUUCUUAUGAAGUGAGCAGAGCAUGGUGCAGUCAAGCAUCAGUGUUUCUGAUGACGUCUUCACACCACUGUUGAUUAAUUGACUGUCCAAAAGUCACCAGUAUUUGGGCAGAAAAACAUUUCAAAACCAAUAUACUGUCAUUUAUAAUACAAUGUUCUAAAUGUCAAUGAGAAUACACUCAUGACCACCAAUAAUUAUAGAUUAUAUUUAGGACUUAUUAGAACACCAUAUAUAAAAUUUUUAAAUGGUCAUCUAUGUAUACAAGUGUAUUACAAUUAACAAAAUUGCCAGAGAAGGUAAACUUUGAAAAUACUUUCUCUUCAUAGGUUUGAAAUUGUUUGGUUCCAUUUUUAUGAAAUGUCUAGACUAGUGUCUUCACUAUUUUCAUAUUGACUAAAUAGCCUGCACUUCUUUGGUAUGUUUAUUAUUUGGUGCAAACAUGACCAUUGGUUAUUACAGUUUUUAAGUACCUACUUCUUUACCGUGUCCGUAUUUCCUUCACUUUUCUAUUCUCAGUAUUCCAUGACCUAAUUACCUAUUACACAGUGGCUGCCUUAGUUCUGUGUUUUGAUAUAGUGUUAUUAACCACAGGCAUUUCUAGUGUGGUUCUUAUUCUUAAAACUUACCUUAUUCUUUUUCUUUCUAAAACUUUGUUGGAAAUCCUCACAAACACUUGAAAACAUUAUUUCUUGAAGGGGUAGGUUUGGAUUGCAUGCUAAGAUGACUGCCUAGUCUAACCAUAUGUGAAUCCAAUAAAGCUUUCUGGGCUUCCAUCUGGUCUGGUUGUUAUUGAGUAGAAUCAGGAACAUUCACCUUC
This 1447-nucleotide long non-coding RNA is filed under the name Rattus norvegicus (Norway rat). RNAcentral's name for it is "long non-coding RNA NONRATT003619". The record is from RNAcentral. Lineage: Eukaryota; Metazoa; Chordata; Mammalia; Rodentia; Muridae.